GACGGAGGGGGCUAGCGUUGUUCGGAAUCACUGGGCGUAAAGGGCGCGUAGGCGGCCAAGUAAGUUAGAGGUGAAAGCCUGGGGCUUAACCUCAGAAUUGCCUUUAAUACUGCUUGGCUGGAGUUUGGUAGGGGAUAGUGGAAUUCCUAAUGUAGAGGUGAAAUUCGUAGAUAUUAGGAGGAACACCAGUGGCGAAGGCGACUGUCUGGGCCAAUACUGACGCUGAGGCGCGAAAGCGUGGGGAGCAAACAGG
This 253-nucleotide ribosomal RNA is filed under the name uncultured bacterium. Its description in RNAcentral is "partial 16S ribosomal RNA". It matches the Rfam family "Bacterial small subunit ribosomal RNA", at positions 524 to 776 of the family's 1533-position model. The record is from RNAcentral.